RNAcentral lists this ribosomal RNA (458 nucleotides) under uncultured bacterium. RNAcentral describes it as "partial 16S ribosomal RNA". It matches the Rfam family "Bacterial small subunit ribosomal RNA", at positions 338 to 795 of the family's 1533-position model. The record is from RNAcentral.
CCUACGGGAGGCAGCAGUGGGGAAUAUUGCACAAUGGGCGCAAGCCUGAUGCAGCGACGCCGCGUGCGGGAUGGAGGCCUUCGGGUUGUAAACCGCUUUUGUUCAAGGGCAAGGCACGGUCUUUGGCCGUGUUGAAUGGAUUGUUCGCAUCAGCCCCGGCUAACUACGUGCCAGCAGCCGCGGUAAUACGUAGGGUGCAAGCGUUAUCCGGAUUCAUGGGGCGGAAAGGGCUUGUCGGCGGUUCGUUCCGUCCGAUGUGAAAGUCCCUCGCUUAACGGUUGAUCCGCGCCGGGUACGGGCGGGCUUGAGUGCGGGAGGGGAGACUGGAAUUCCCGGUGUAGCGGUGGAAUGUGUAGAUAUCGGGAAGAACACCAGUGGCGAAGGCAGGUCUCUGGGCCGUUACUGACGCUGAGGAGCGAAAGCGUGGGGAGCGAACAGGAUUAGAUACCCUUGUAGUC